GAGAGAGAGAGGGAGAGGGAAAAGAGGGGACGGCGGUGUGUCUCGACCUUUCCCGAUAAGCUCGACCAUUGCUCGAAUGGGAACGCCUAGGGUUUCGAUCCACGAGCUUUCUCGCCAAUCUCUUCCUCCCUCCCUCGCUAUCUGGAUUAAACUAGGAUUUCUCCGCAAAAGAAAUUUAUAAUCUCCCAUCUUUCUCCGGCCUUUCUUCCUUGUUCCCCGAUUCCCCUAACUCUACCACUAGCUCCUACUCUUGUUGCUGCAGCUGUUACUGCUAUUCGUUCACCGUCGCUGUCGCUCUUCUUGCGCACCGAGGAAAUUGCGGGGGGAGACGAAGAGAUCGAGGACCAGUAAUGGCGGAUUGUUGUCCGAAGCGGGCGUAGCACCUCGACGAAGAUUUUGCUGUCGUCUCAUUCGGAGGAGAGGAGAGGCAGAGGCUGGAGGGCGGCAUUUGCGGAAGGAGCUGUUUGGCGCGUCGGUCUUGACGAGAACUGGAGGAAUGCACAUCGAUCGGGGCUCGUCUGCUUCGAAUCCGGAGUAAAGGAUCGAUUUUGGGGGUGGGAUUCUCUUGUGCUUGGAGAUCGAGUGGGUAGAUCUGGAAUGCGGAGGCAUUAAAUCGUCGCUAGACGUUGCUGCUGUAGCUGCUGCCUUCAUGUCGUUGUGCUGAUUUCUAGCCACCCGACGAGCCAGCGCGAGUAGCGGGAAGAAAGAGGGGGAAAAGGAAGCCAAGAACAGCUGAUCGCCGCUGCCAGAAAAAAAGCAAAGGCUCCGAGCUGACUUGUCCGGCCACCUACUUUGUCUACAGAAACCCUAAGUCCCGGAGUUGCCAUAGCCCCUCAGUCUCGCCCACACCCACCACACUCCACUUGCAGGAAGGAGAUCGAGGGGUAGAUAUAAUAAGGAGUGGCCGAUCACGCGAUAAAGAUCCUAUCUUUGUACCCAGGAGAGGCAUGAGAGCAAGAUGGAAUUGGAGGAGAACGACCACGCUUCCAAGAGGUCCCGGAUGAUGUGCAACGGCAGUCAGGCGGCCAAGAUAGGGCGCAAGCAGCUCGCGAGGGACGACGACGAGGACGGAGAGAAGAGGAAGGGCGAAGGAGGGGCUGAUGCCAACCGCAUCGGGUCCUGGCAGCAUUACCCGUCGUCAAGGAUCUUUCGGGUCUCGCGAGCCUCCGGCGGCAAGGACCGGCACAGCAAGGUCUACACCGCGAAGGGCCUCCGCGAUCGGAGGGUCCGUCUCUCCGUCUCCACCGCCAUUCAGUUCUAUGACCUCCAGGACCGCCUUGGCUGCGACCAGCCGAGCAAGGCCAUCGAGUGGCUAAUCAAAGCCGCUGCGGCCGCCAUCAACGAGCUUCCUCCGCUCGAUGGCUUCCUAAAGCCACCGCACCCUAGCGGGGAAGAGAUCAUGGAGAUCAAUCCAGAUGUUGAGUGUAGCUACAAUCAGCAUCAACAACAGCAGCAUCAGUCGAGCAAGUCGGGCUGCAGCAGCACCUCGGAGAUCAGCAAAGGCUCGGUUCUGUCACUCUCACAGUCAGAGAGCCGCAUCAAGGCCAGAGAGCGAGCACGAGAACGAACUGCGAAGGACAAGGCGAAAGAUAGAGACGACAGUGGCCCCAUUGUGGCGUCCCAUCACCAGAACCAGAACCCGAACCCGUACCCGAACCCUCAGACCCCCUCCUUAACUACUACCUUCACGGAGCUUCUUACUGGUGGCGGCAGCGUCCGCAAUAAUUCCAACGUAACCGCUGCCGUUGCAGGCCAGAACUCCGACCGCAGUUGCAUUCAGAAGCAAAUCUCCACAGCGGAUUACUUCGUCCAAGCUGGUCUCUUUGCUCAGCCGCAAAAGAGUCACCAGCUGCCGUCGAGUUUUCCCUCCCAAUCCCACUUUGGGAACAGAUCCCCGAUGGGAAUGUUGCCAUUCAACAUAGCUGCCACUGGCCACCAUCCCGAAAUGCAGCAGUUAUUCUUACAGGACCAUGUCUUCCCCGUCUCGGCAGUGGCAGCGUCAGGGGAUUACAAUCUCAACUUCUCAAUUUCUUCGGGAAUUGCAGGUUUCAGUAGGGGGACCCUUCAGUCCAAUUCACCAGCUCAGAUGCCUCAGCAGCACCAUCACAGUCACAACAAUCUACCGAGGCUCUCUUCUACCGUUGACGGAUCGAACCUGCAGUUCUUCUUCGGUUCUGCCGCUGGUUCGGCUGCAGCCGCCACCAGCGCAGAGAAUCAAUUUCCGGCAGGGAUGGACGGCGGCCUGCAGCUCUGCUAUGGGGAUGGCUAUCGGCAUUCAGACCUCAAGGGGAAAGGGAAGAGAUGAGUUAAUCAGAAAAAAAGAUGCCAUUUUGUGCAUACUCCAUUGCUGGCUUAUACUACAACUAGGAGACAUGAAGGUAUAUUCUAUCUGUAAAGUCCGAGUUGGAGAGUGAUUAGAUGGUAUCAGUGGUAAGAUUAUUGCGUGAUAAUGGUCUGACAAUAAGAGAAAGAAACUACCUAAUGGGUUCCAGAGAAAGCAUGUGCGGAUGCCUUAAGUGGCAGCAAUUCCUGAAAUUUUUUGAUCAUAUUCAAUUGUGCUUCAUUGAGACUUCAUCACUUUUCAUGUACGAAUUCACAAUUCAUGACAUUUUGUUGGUCAUUUACAUAACCAUGUCGACGUUACUCCCGUGAAUUUGCUAAGAUGGAUGAUGCAGGAAAGCAACGACUGCAAAGCAUGGAAAUGGCACCUUUCCUGGAAUAUUGUUUGCAGCAAGGACUCCAGUAGAACUGUGGUCAAAAUCAGAAUUGCUUUGUUCUUUGUUCUCAUCAAUUGCAUUCAUAUCAUGUGUGAGACAGUUCUAUCAUUGUGUGAUUGCAGAGUGAAACCUGGUUAUGUAAUGGUAAACAAUCCAUCUUUAUUGCUUGCUUGUGGAUAAGACACCAUUUAAGCA
Musa acuminata AAA Group (dessert banana) is the source of this 2912-nucleotide RNA transcript. It is a transcript of the gene named transcription factor PCF6-like, with no coding region annotated. The transcript has 7 exons. The record is from RefSeq and is a predicted model, not a curated record. NCBI's taxonomy places the organism in Eukaryota, Viridiplantae, Streptophyta, Magnoliopsida, Zingiberales, Musaceae.